AAUGUUUAAACACACUACACAGUAAAUAAAUUCUUACCACAUAUACAGAACAUCAACAGAUUAAAUUUGAACUAUCACAAUAAUUACAGCUACCAGCCUGCCUCUAUCCCUCCUAUGAAGAAUUUCACAUUCCCUCUCUGUUGGAAAACUCCAAAGAAAUGUGGGUUCUUCCAGGGAGAACUAGAUUCUUGAUUAGGAACACUUUCUACCCAUCCUUGCAGCUUAAAAGUUUUCACCUGUCUCUGAAAACAGUACAUCCUAGAUCUUACAUGCCCUUAUAAUCUACUAUUUCUUUUCUUUUUUUUUUUUCCAUCCAGUCUGAGAUUUCUUUUAGGGGUUGCCCUUUUUGAUUCCACUCUAGUGAUAAGCUUUCAUCCCCAUCCCUGAGGAGAGCCGGCCCACCUGGGAGGAGGGGUGGAGAGGCAGCUGAGGAAGGAAUGGGGUUGGAAAUGUAAGCAUGUUUUUGUUUUUAGAAAGAGAAUAGCAAAUAUUUUUAGAUAAAGUAGGGGAUGCAAACAUUUACAAGAAUAAAAUCUAGCUCUGUAUUUAAUAAUCAAAACGUGUCUACAAAAACAAGUAUCUCUGAGACAUCCGAGCAUGGGAGAAUUGAUGCUGGUUUUCCGUGUUAAACUAAAGCUCCUCAGGUGCCCGUUUCCUCUUGGCUUGGAUAGUGAGUUGGUGCUGGGUGGCUUCUUCAAUGUUCUGAAGUAGGUGGAUUUCCCACUGGCUCACUCGCUCCAUUGCAGCUUUCAGCUUUUUCGGGUCUGGUCUCUUUCUCCUGGCUGUAUUGGGAAUCCCUGGCAAUCCUGAGUUUCGUGGCCAGCUCCUUGCUAGGUGACCACAGAGCUGACCCCUGCCAGGUGGAUCGGGAGGUCCUGUAAAGAGUGUGCAGGCAUUGGGGACCCUCCUGCAGGCAUUGGGGACCCUCCUGCGGGCAUUGAGGACCCUCCUGCAGCACCACAUUUCUUGAGUUACAGGGAAAGCAAAAUAUUGGUGCUAAAACCAGAGGAUAAUUUUGAUUCUUCGCUGCUCUUGGACACAUGAAACUGUAACAAACAAGUGCUAAAAAGCCAAAGUCAAGUUGCUUUCUAUAAGUUGUCCAAUGUUACUAACAGGUCACCAUUACAGUCAGCUACAGUUACUGUGAUUGCUUUACAUGAAGUUAUAAAAUUAAUACCUUCAUCUAUUUUAAGCAAUUGAACUUUGUAACCCUCUCAAUAAAAUGAAUUAA
Molecule: non-coding RNA, 1231 nt
Organism: Microcebus murinus (gray mouse lemur)
Lineage: Eukaryota; Metazoa; Chordata; Mammalia; Primates; Cheirogaleidae
Source: RefSeq, a predicted model, not a curated record